AGAGUUUGAUCAUGGCUCAGGAUGAACGCUAGCGGCAGGCUUAAUACAUGCAAGUCGAACGGCAGCACGAGUAGCGAUACUUGGUGGCGAGUGGCGCACGGGUGCGUAACGCGUAUGCAAUCUACCUUUAACUGGAGAAUAGCCCGAAGAAAUUCGGAUUAAUACUCCAUAGUUUUAUGAAGUAGCAUUACUUUAUAAAUAAAGCUACGGCGGUUAAAGAUGAGCAUGCGUGACAUUAGCUAGUUGGUGAGGUAAUGGCUCACCAAGGCUACGAUGUCUAGGGGUACUGAGAGGUUUAACCCCCACACUGGUACUGAGACACGGACCAGACUCCUACGGGAGGCAGCAGUAAGGAAUAUUGGUCAAUGGACGCAAGUCUGAACCAGCCAUGCCGCGUGCAGGAUGAAGGCCCUAUGGGUUGUAAACUGCUUUUGUACGGGAAAAAACCCUUCUACGUGUAGAAGGCUGAUGGUACCGUAAGAAUAAGGAUCGGCUAACUCCGUGCCAGCAGCCGCGGUAAUACGGAGGAUCCAAGCGUUAUCCGGAUUCAUUGGGUUUAAAGGGUGCGUAGGCGGGAUAGUAAGUCAGUGGUGAAAGCCUGCAGCUUAACUGCAGAACUGCCAUUGAUACUGCUAACCUAGAGUACAGCUGAUGUGGGCGGAAUGUGUCGUGUAGCGGUGAAAUGCUUAGAUAUGACACAGAACACCGAUUGCGAAGGCAGCUCACAAAACUGUAACUGACGCUGAGGCACGAAAGUGUGGGGAUCGAACAGGAUUAGAUACCCUGGUAGUCCACACUGU
RNAcentral lists this ribosomal RNA (800 nucleotides) under uncultured bacterium. Its description in RNAcentral is "bacterial SSU rRNA". It matches the Rfam family "Bacterial small subunit ribosomal RNA", at positions 8 to 803 of the family's 1533-position model. The record is from RNAcentral.